CCUACGGGCGGCAGCAGUGGGGAAUAUUGCACAAUGGGGGAAACCCUGAUGCAGCGACGUCGCGUGAGUGAAGAAGUAUCUCGGUAUGUUAAGCUCUAUCUGUAGGGAAGAAAAUGACGGUACCUGACUAACAAGCCCUGUCUAACUACGUGCCAGCAGCCGCGGUAAUACGUAGGGGGCAAGCGUUAUCCGGAUUUACUGGGCGUAAAGGGAGAGUAGUCGGCCAGACAAGUCAGAAGUGAAAGGCCAGGGCUCAACCCGGGGACUGCUGUUGAAACUGGCGGGCUGGAGUGCAGGAGAGGUAAGCGGAAUUCCUAGUGUAGCGGUGAAAUGCGUAGAUAUUAGGAGGAACACCAGUGGCGAAGGCAGCUUACUGGACUGUAACUGACGUUGAGGCACGAAAGCGUGGGGAGCGAACAGGAUUAGAUACCCCAGUAGUC
RNAcentral lists this ribosomal RNA (440 nucleotides) under uncultured bacterium. RNAcentral describes it as "partial 16S ribosomal RNA". It matches the Rfam family "Bacterial small subunit ribosomal RNA", at positions 338 to 795 of the family's 1533-position model. The record is from RNAcentral.